RNAcentral lists this ribosomal RNA (408 nucleotides) under Oulema rufocyanea. RNAcentral describes it as "partial 16S large subunit ribosomal RNA". Lineage: Eukaryota; Metazoa; Arthropoda; Insecta; Coleoptera; Chrysomelidae. The record is from RNAcentral.
UACCUGCCCACUGAAUUUUUAAAUGGCCGCGGUAUUUUGACCGUGCAAAGGUAGCAUAAUCAUUAGUUUUUUAAUUGAAAGCUGGAAUGAAAGGUUUGAUGAAAAAAUGGCUGUCUUUAUUAAAAAAUUAAAAUUUUAUUUUUAAGUUAAAAAGCUUAAAUUUUUUUAAAAGACGAGAAGACCCUAUAGAAUUUAAUAAUUUAUUUUAAUAUUAUAAAAUUUUAGCUUAUUUUUUUUUAUUAAAAAAGUUAUUGUAUUGGGGUGAUAGAGUAAUUUAAUAAACUUAUUUUUAUUUAAUUCAUUUAUAUAUGUUUAAUUGAUCCAUAGAUUAUGAUUAUAAGAUAAAAUUACCUUAGGGAUAACAGCGUAAUUUUUUUUAAGAGUUCAAAUCGAAAAAAGAGAUUGCGA